This 72-nucleotide transfer RNA is filed under the name Camelus bactrianus (Bactrian camel). It matches the Rfam family "tRNA". Rfam says of the family: Transfer RNA (tRNA) molecules are approximately 80 nucleotides in length. Their secondary structure includes four short double-helical elements and three loops (D, anti-codon, and T loops). RNAcentral also lists the same sequence under 1 other name. Lineage: Eukaryota; Metazoa; Chordata; Mammalia; Artiodactyla; Camelidae. The record is from Rfam by way of RNAcentral.
GAGGAAAUAGCUCAGUGGUAGAGUGCCUGCCUAGCAUACACAAGGUCCUGGGUUCAAUCCCCAGUACCUCCA